CCCUCCUCCACAAGCCUUUAUGCUUCCCUGUAGUUAUAUCAGUACACUGUCAUGGAAAAAAAAGUGUGUAUCAGUAAGAUGAACUACCUACAUCUUGUAUUAAUGAUCCAGAAGUGACAGCAUGGUAUCCAGCUCAAAGUAAUUAAUCUCCUUUUGGUAGCUUUCACACAUUCCAGCUGUCUUUGACCUUCACAGGAACACCUCUGUAACUCUCAGUGUAGAAAUACCCUUUGCAAAGCUCUUUUCUAGACUUUUUCCUUUCUUCCACUGAACUUUCAUCCUUUAUCCAAAUCCACUUACCACAUGUUUUUCAGUCUCCAUCCUGUAUGUGGUUAUCCCUUUAGACUAACUUGCAUAUUUCUCUGUUUACAUCCUCCUGACUCUCCUAACUGUAUCUGAAAUAUGGUGCUGUGAAAACCAAACUCUCUCCCAAGUGGCCUCCUGCCAUUUCCUGGCAAUGAAUGCCAACAUCCUCUCCUAGUCCUGUUCAGCUUACACUUUCAAUGGCAUUUUUAUGUCCUCUCUCUCUUUUUUCUCCCCAGUGUCCCUUCCUCUUUUGUACACAUCCAUGCCCAUGUAUUCCUCAUUUCUGUUCGAGUUCAGUCUGUCUUUUAUUUUCUCUUCUUUUUUUUUUGCUGCAGCAACAUCUUCUCCAGCACUUUCCCAUUGCUUUUGUUUCAUUGCUUCUACGACCUCCCUACUGCCUGAAAACCAUUCAUGUUUUCUAAAAUCACUCCACAUUUCUGGCUUUCUUUGUUUUAUGCACAAAGCAGCAUUUCUUUUAGCAGCUCCAUAAGAAGUUGGUCACUGUCAACAAGUCUAAUGUGAUUCAUAGGCCACUUACUAAGCCUCACCCCUUUGUAUUCUGAUCCAGUAUUCACCAACUCCUUUUUAAAUCUUAUCAUUGUUUCUUCUCAGGACAAAGCUGAGAUCUUCCUCAACUCUGACAUGAAAGGAGAGGUGCUCCAACCCUCUGAUCAUCAUGGCCCUCCUCUGGACCUGCUUCAAGAGCUCCACGCUCUUCUGGUACUUGGGGUCCUAGGCCUGGCUGCAGUACUCCAGAUGGAGCCUUACAAGAGCUGAGCAGAAGGGGACAACCACCUCCUUCUCCCUGCUGGCCUCUCCUCUUCUAAUGCAACACAGAGCACAGUUGGCCUUUUGGGCUGCGAAUGCACAUUUCUGGCUUGUGUCCAACUUCUCAUCCACCAGGACUCCCAAGUCCUUCUCCACAGGGCUGUUCUCAAGGAGAUCAUCCCUCAGUUUGUAUAAAUACCUGGUAUUGCCCCAACCCAAGUGCACUUGGCCUUAUUGAACCUCAUUAGAUUUUCAUUGGCCCACUUCU
Molecule: long non-coding RNA, 1342 nt
Organism: Gallus gallus (chicken)
Lineage: Eukaryota; Metazoa; Chordata; Aves; Galliformes; Phasianidae
Source: Ensembl